This 477-nucleotide ribosomal RNA is filed under the name Terebra quoygaimardi. Its description in RNAcentral is "partial 16S ribosomal RNA". It matches the Rfam family "Bacterial large subunit ribosomal RNA", at positions 1859 to 2598 of the family's 2925-position model. Lineage: Eukaryota; Metazoa; Mollusca; Gastropoda; Neogastropoda; Terebridae. The record is from RNAcentral.
CUGCCCGGUGAAGAUUUUUAACGGCCGCGGUACUCUGACCGUGCAAAGGUAGCAUAAUCAUUUGCCUUAUAAUUGAAGGCUAGUAUGAAUGGUUUGACAAGAAUACGGCUGUCUCUUUAUGAUUUGAUAGAAUUUUAUUUUUAGGUGAAAAAGCCUUAAUUUGAUUAAUAGACAAGAAGACCCUAUCGAGCUUUAGGGAAUUCAGUGGGUUGGAGGCUUAAUUGGUGAAGAAAGAAAUCUACUGAACAUUUUGGUUGGGGCGACUGAGGAACAUAAGAAGCUUCCUUUAAUGUGUUGACACAUACAGGUAUUGAUCCAAAAAUGUUGAUUAAAGAAAUUAGUUACCGUAGGGAUAACAGCAUAAUCUUUUUUGAGAGUUCUUAUCGAAAAAAAGGUUUGUGACCUCGAUGUUGGACCAGAAUGUCCUAAAGAUGCAGAAGUCUUUAAGGGUUGGUCUGUUCGACCAUUAAAAUUCUA